AUGGCAGCAGCCGACGACUACGACGCCGCGGUCGCGCUGGCCGUGUUUCAUGCGGCCCGCGCCGGCGUCCGCGGCCUCGUCGAGUGCGGCAUCACCUCCGUGCCGCCGCUCUUCCUCGCACCCGAGCCCAGAACCAGCAGCCCCUCCCCACCGCCAGUCGAGAACGCGAUCCUCUUCACCAUCCCAAGCGUUGACCUCGCACUCCCGCCCUCGUCCAGCCUGCCGCUCAUCCGCGCCGCCGCGCGCUCGUGCGGCUUCUUCCAUGUCACCAACCACAGCGUCGACGCCGCCACCGUCGACUCGGCGGUGUCCGCCGUCCGGGCCUUCCACGAGCUGCCCCUCACCGUCCGUUCAGCGUUCUACACGCCCGCGUCCGUCGGGAGCGUCACCUACUCCACCAUCCCCAUCCAGCCUGGUAAAACCUCUGCCGGCCGUUUCCUUCCCUGGCGCGACACGCUCCAGGUCCGCUUCGGCCCUCCUCCAGCGCCUGACCUCGUCCAUCUGCCGCCGGCUUGCCGAGACGCGCUGCUCAAGUACCAGCUGCUCACGACGGAGCUCGGGAAGAAGAUGGCCGGGCUGCUGUCGGAGGCGCUCGGCGUCGGCGCGGAGCGGCUGGAGAGGGCGAUGCAGGUGGAAGGCUUGCUGAUGGCGUGCCACUACUACCCGCCGUGCCCGGAGCCGGCGCGGGUGGUGGGCAGUCUGGAGCACACGGACCCCAGCCUUUUCACCGUCCUGGCACAGGACGGGGUCGGAGGGCUUCAGGUGCGCCUCCACGACGGACGGUGA
This 786-nucleotide ribosomal RNA is filed under the name Triticum aestivum (bread wheat). RNAcentral describes it as "partial small subunit ribosomal RNA". Lineage: Eukaryota; Viridiplantae; Streptophyta; Magnoliopsida; Poales; Poaceae. The record is from RNAcentral.